Molecule: non-coding RNA, 3973 nt
Organism: Sus scrofa (pig)
Lineage: Eukaryota; Metazoa; Chordata; Mammalia; Artiodactyla; Suidae
Source: RefSeq, a predicted model, not a curated record
UACGAAUCUGCUAAUUGUAAAAAUUUCAAUAUGGCAGGGCGCAAAAUAUUUCACACAAAUGCAAAUAGAGAUGUCAUGCAGUUAGCUGCAGGACAUGAAUCAUUGCCCUGCUGCAUCAAACUCGAAAAUCAGAGGCAGUUCACUCGGCAAGAUUUCUUACCCAGUUCUUAAAAGUUCAGAUGCAUUACCUUUUUAAUCAGUGAAAUAAACUAUAAUUGCUAACAUACUGUGUAAUGUUUACCGCUAAACCCACAAUCUGGACAAACAGAAAAUUAUGCUGUCAGAGCCUGGAAACAACUGCAGUCCGCUGUUUCACACAGCACCCUCCUUACACAGGGCUGUCUUUGGGAGUUACAAUGCCUUAUGGCUUUAAUUUUUUAGCGUAAGGGUCAUUUCCCCAGAGGCAGGUGUUAGGACGAAAGCAGUCUCCCGCGUGACCUUCCUAACACAGACCUUGAGCAAGAGACUGCGGGGGCAGAAAGCUGAGAAUUUCAGAAGGCACUUGACAGCUCCACUGGGUCCUUCACACUUGGCUUUCAGGAACAACAAAAAAAGCAUGUUACUCUGCACCUGCCUCUCCCCCCACCCUCCUUAAAACUUCAAUUACCUUUACCCCUGAGGGUCUGAAUAGUGGGAAGAAGAGGAGGUUCAAGGAGACUGGAGAGAAUGAAACAGCAGGUGCGUUCUGGCAUGCUUUUAUCCUACUCAAACUCCAAAGAAUCUGCGUUUCCCCUCUGCUCAGUAGCCUGGAUCUGGUUUCAGACCUGCCACGGUUCCCUCGGCAACACCUCCCUGCUCAGAGCUUGUCCCCCAGGUGACCUCCAUCCUGUUGGUUUCUACCAUGUUUAAGAUGCCGCUGCAGUGACUCAUGAGUUUAUGAGACGAUGGCUUCCAGCCAGUGUGCCAACAAUUCUUCCCAGAUGUGUCCACAUUGUUGCCUCCAGGAUCCCUUCUGGUGAAAUCCAGACACUCAGGAUAAGCCUGGCUAGCCAUUGCACCUGUAUUUGGAAAUAUCAUUGAAUAAACCUGGUUUCUAGAAAGUUCUUCUACCUUUGAAAAUAUUACAGAAUCUUGCUUUUAUUCGCUAACAAAUAUUGAAUAAACACCUACUUUGUACUCAGGGCCUAUUUCAGAGGUGCUUUAUCAGAAAUGUGCAAGCAGCAUUUUUUCGAAAUGCUCAAGCACCUCAGAGGAUCCUUCCCUUGGCCACAUUUUUCCUAGAGGCCUCUGUCCUGUUUCAAUCCAGACCUGUUUGCUCUGCAUCUGUGGCACAGCUGUUGUCCUGAGACUUCUUUUCAAAUUCUAAAAUAAAAUAGUCUUUCCGUACUAUCCAAAACCCAGCCAAACAAUUGAAGUGUGAAGGCAGAGUAAAUACAUUCAAAGAAUCAGAAAAUACACCUCCUACAUGCCCUAGAAAGCAACUGAAGGAUGGGCUUCAGCAAACAAAGGAAGGAUCCAAAGGAAGAAGGAAGCAUAGCGUAUCGGUUCUCCAAUGAAUAAAAUCCCUGCAUUAUCUUUGUUCCUGCCUGAGCAAGUGAAAUUCUAUUUGCUAAGAUCUCCAAAAGUGAAAAUCAUUUAUCACAUCAGAACCAAAACCAAAUGUAGGGAGAUCUGAGCAGCCUUCUGCGUCACCAUGUAAAACCACAAAGCCUUGAUAGUUGUGGCAUCAUGCUCGAAAUACACUUGAAGUUUAGACUAUGAAGAGAACCGGCGUUUAAAGCAAACACAUAUUUAGUUGGUAAGGAGUGGAGGAAAGAAGGUGUGCCAUCUACAGAAGUAUUUGGUGAUCCGUAGGUAAGAACACAACCACUGAACACAUAAAGUAACUCAGCCAGGGAUUUUGUUCUGAUAUAGUGAUGCUAAUUUUAACAACUUGAAAAAACAAAGGAAUGUCUGAAAUGAACAUCUCACCUGCUUCUGAGAUAAAGAACGUAAAAUCAAUAGUUCUGGGAAGGACCCACAUUUGUCUUCCUCUCUGCAGACCUCCCAGCAUCCCAAGAAUCAUUUCCAUCGCUUUCGAAGUCAGAAAUUCAGAUAUGAUGUUUGGAAGGGUAGCAGCUAUUUUGUGACUGUAAGGGUAAAAGUCAAAAGCUAAGGAUGAUGGAACAGGAAAAUAGAAGGAACCUGAGUAUUUGAAGGCCUACAUCAUUCCUUGAUUGCCUAUAUUCAGAUUUCUGCCUAUGUAAGAAAGAAAAUUAUGGCCUCUUUGGAUGGUUGCUCUGCAGGCUGCUACUAGAUGUUAACCAGCCUUGGCGAAGCCAGCUUCAUUGAUUGGCAAUGAGUCAAGAGGGUGGCAGUGGUCGAUCAAGCUUUUUGAGUGAACUUCGGCCUCCUGAUGAAGGUUGCAGAAUUCCUGAAAAUGCAACAAUUGGCCAACCCCAGCCCGCACUGCCUAGAGGUCUGUUGGAAGAGGGUGGAGCCCACAGCAGCACAGCUCCAUCAAACUGGAAACCAUAAGGCCCGGCUCUGGCUGCUGAAAUGGGGGUGGCGAGAUGUCGCCUUCAGUUCCUGACCUUGUAGUUCUUCAUCUUGCAGGAUCCCAUCAUCAUCACUCCUUACUCUCUCCGCAAGGUUGAAGAGGAUUCAGAGAUUGAACAAUCAUUUGGUGAUUCUGUGUUUUCACUUCUGUUUGAGAAGGUCUUGUCCCACUCCAAAGACAGCAAUGGGAUCAGAUGGAGCCACAGUUGGGACCUACAUUGCAGCUAUGACAACAAUGGAUCCUCCUUUAACCCACUGUGCCAGGCAGGGAUGGAACCUGCAUCCCAGUGCUCCAGAGACAUCGCCAAUCCCAUUGCACCACAGCAGGUACCCUAACAUUUUAGAAUAGAGCACAUAUUUGAAAUAAGUUAUUUACUAAGCCUAUGGCAACUGCUUAAUGUGUAUGUUGACUGAGUUUAGGACUUGCAGUAAUUCUCCAGCCAGCCUGGAAGUUGCUGAAUUGAAAUAUUACAUAGGUAUGAAAGAUACCUCUUAUAAAACAUGACCCAGAGCAGAAGUUAGUUAAUUGAAAAAGUCAGUUAACUGUAAAAGCAUAAAAAUUCUCAUAUGUACCUUAACAUAUGUAAUUGUACAAUCAUUUAAUGAAAUCUGGGUUUGAUCCUGUGCCUUCUUCUGCCAUUAAAGUCAUGGAUUUUAGUUACAGCACAUGUGAUUUCGGCAUCAUGCACAGCUGAACUUCUGUAUCAACCCUCUCAUAGAUACCAAAAUCUGCCGAUACUCAAGUCCCUUAAAUAAAAUGGUGUGGUAUCUGCAUAUAAUCCAUACAGAUCCUGCUGUAUACUUAAAAUCAACUCUAGAUUAAUUAUAAUAGCUAAUAUAAAUGCUAUGCAAAUAGUUACAAUAUAAAUAUUACGUAAAUAAAUAGUUGUGGGUAUGCAGCAAAUUUUGCUUUUUGGAACUUACUGGAAUUUUUUUUUCUGCAAAUACUUCUGAUUCCCAUUUGGUUAGAUUUGUGGAUGCAAAACCAGGGGAUACAGAGGGCUGACUGUAAUUUCAUGUUUCCAACAUAGUAACACCAUCAAUUCACUGUUCUAUUUCAGUUCCUAUAAAUCACUAGAACCUGAGACCAACUGUUCCUUGUCAUCUUCAAGUUAGGAUGUUUUGGUAGGAUCUCAACCUUAAGCUACAGGCAUUCAUUCCUCAAGAUGUAGAAGAGAAUGAACUGGAAAUUUCAUUCCAAUAAUGGUAAGGAAGGUCUUUGUUGUUUUUUAACGAUUUUAUAAGACUUCCUGUAUUCUAUUUUUUUCCCAAAAUGAAGCUAAAAACCUUCCACAUAUAUAUAUAUUUUCUCUUAAAUAUGCCAGAACUGCCAAACUCCUGGAUCUAUAGACUCAAACAAAAAUGUUACAUUUACAGAGUUCCCAUCAUGGCGCAGUGGUUAACAAAUUCUACUAAGAUCCAUGAGGUUGCGGGUUCAAUCCCUGGCCUUGCUCAGUGGGUUAAGGAUCCAGGGUUGCCAUGAGCUGUGGUGUAG